RNAcentral lists this long non-coding RNA (2659 nucleotides) under Homo sapiens (human). RNAcentral's name for it is "PREDICTED lncRNA (TCONS_00196919)". The record is from RNAcentral. Lineage: Eukaryota; Metazoa; Chordata; Mammalia; Primates; Hominidae.
CUCAAAUAAGAUAGGCCUCCCAGGUUAACUAAUUUCAGAGCAAUUUUUCAGAUUUAGAAAAUUGGAGUCAGGCGCAGUGGCUCACGCCUGUAAUCCCAGCACUUUGGGAGGCCGAGGCGGGCAGAUCACCUGAGGUCAGGAGUUCAAGACCAGCCUGGCCAAAAUGAGUUUUUCUCUGUCACCUAGAUUGAAGUGCAAUACUGUGAUCAUGGCUUACUACAGCCUCAGCUUCCCAAACGAUCCUUCUAAUCUCAGCCUCCUGAGUAGCUGGGACCACAGGAAUGUGCCAUCUUGCUUGUCUAACUAAAAAAAAAUUUUUUAUUUUAGACAUGGAGUCUCACUAUUUUGCCCAGGCUGGUGUCAAACUCCUGGGCCCAAGGAAUUUACUUGUUUUGGCCUCCUAAAUCCCCUUGGAUUAUAGGUAUGAGCCACUGUGCCCAGUCUAAGUAGAAUUUUAAAAAUCUCCUUUUCUAAAGAAAAUUGAAUUUGUUGAUAGUAAAGUUUUAAAAUUGGGAAGUUAUAUUGAAAUGUGUCUGGUGCAACCAGUGGAGUUUAAAUUAUUUUUGACCAAAAUGGAUUCUGAAGAAAUGGUAUGGAUAGAAAACAAAGAAUAUUUGAUUAAGUGAAACAAAGCCCCAGCUGCUGGAGCAGAGGUUCCACUUGGGUUCCACAGACACCCACAGCCCAAAUCCCUGGAGGCCUAAGGCAAUAGCUAAUUGAGACUAUGCAUCACUAUUAAGGCAUCUUCACUAAAGGGCGCUGUGGAAACGCUGCCUGAGAUGCAGACACCUGUCAGAAGGGGGCUAAAUUUCAAACAAGGAACGUGGUGUUGCAUCACAAUAAAGUAGAUUCUAGUAUUACCUUCCUUUUUCAGAAGAGGAGACCAAUGGGGAGCAUUGGAAUGAUUUGGUUGCAAGCAUACUACACUACUUGUAAACUGCAGACACAGGCUUAAAAAAAGUGAAAAACUAACCAUGCAAUAAAGAAUGGAAUGAACCAUGAAGCUGUUUCUGUGGCCAGUCAUGUUUUUGAAGCAUAUCCCAUGCUAAUUUCUAGAACAGAAGAAACACACGUGUUCUUGUGUGUAAACCCAGUCCAUGGAAGAGACCGUCUGCUUGUCCCUCCUGAUCUCUGGGCCCAGACAACCAGUAGUCACCAUUCCAAGUGAGGGGUGGCUGCAACUCUACAGCCCCGUUCGUCUCUCCUCACUGUCAAAGCUGCUGAGACCCCAGACUCGACACUUGAAAGAAACCCAUGUCUGUGAAGCACUUGUGGACCAUUCAAGAUUGUGGAAGAAUCACUCAAGAGAAGGAGAUAGCAAUAUUUGCAGAUAUGCAAACUGGCCCCUUGCAUGCACAUCCUGGAGCACGUCCUGGAGCCUUUAGAGGAGACGGCUGCUGCUGUUCCAGUCUCUCCUUAGGCAGACUUGAGUUUCUACCCACUCUUCCCAAGCAGCCGCCCCUCCGCACCCGAGCGAGCCAAAGACCUGGCGGGCUGAGUACUCACUGCGCGCUGGACACAUGCUGAGCCGGCACUGCAGGGACACAGGGCGAGCCGCUGGAUGCAGACCUGUGGCCGCGGCAGUUGGGCUUAUCUUGCCCAUGAAGUUGCCUCUGAAGAACCAAGUCCAACUGUGUAUGCUGAGAGAUGUCUGGCUACUUCCUGAUUGACAGUUCUGGCAAGGUGGCAUUGGGCCCUGGCUUUUCCUCUGGAGGCAUCAUCACUUAUAGGAAAAUGUCCCCUGAAGUCCAAGGAUCAAAGCUGCUGGAACACUGAGAAGCUGAACAAAGGAGAACUGUUUCUCAUCAAACCCAGACUUCCAGACUUCCAAUAGGGUAGAAUGAGCAAGUCAGCAAAUCAUCUUCCUUGGAAACAGUGAUAAAACUAGAUGACAUUGUCAACAACAGCCAUUUCAGAAAUCUAGAAAAUGACCAAAGGCAAACAACAAACUGAGAAGCAUUUUUUUUUCCAUGAAAAAUCGCUCUAUUUCUGCAAAAAUAGUGGGAGUCUAUGGCUUCUCAUCCAGGGCUGUUUCUCUCCCCACCCCAGCUCAGUCAGUACAAAGGUUCUGGCAGCAUGAGGCAGACUGAACAGACCUGAAGUUUGAUUGCUGGAAGAAACUGACUCCAGGUUUGGCAGAGGGUGAGAAACCUACUCCCAGCCAUGUUGUCUGGUGACACAGUGACCUUAGGGACAAGUGAAUAGGGAAGGCCAGUGAUUCAUUAACCUGAGGUUGCAGUCCUGGUUGGGGAAAGCAUCAGAAUGGCAGAUAAGCUAGAAAUUUAGUAGGGAUAUGCUGGAAAUGAGACAACCCCAAAGGGGCUUGACCCCAAAGUUGUCCACACACCCCAGCUGCCUUCUGAGCAGAUGUAGGGAGAGACCAGAGAAGGCCUAGGCUAUCCACACAUCUCUGGCUAACCCAGGCUGUAAACCUGUGGAGGAGACACAAGAGGUGGAUUGAUUGCUAAUGGGCAUAUGGGGGAUCUUACUGGUUGAUAGGAACAUUCUCAAAUUGGAUUGUGGUGAUGCUUGCACAACUCUAAGUUUAUCCCAAAUUGCUAAAUUUUACACUAAAAAGGGGUGAACUUUAGGGUAUAUAAAUUAUACAUCAAUAAAGUUGUCAUAAAGCAUUCACAUUCUAAUAAAUGGCUCUAAGAAA